AUAACUACUCCAUGAAUCAGCCUGAGCAAGGAGGAGAUACCAAACACAGCAACCCAGCAAGAGGCAGUAUGGUCAAGUAGGACAUGUCCAGGCUCAGAAACAGAGGGCAUUUAUUCAGGAUCCACCACUUACACAAUCCAGGACAAGUUUUUACAUGUCUCCCUCACCUGAGAAACAAAGAGAAACCACACCUGCCCACCAACACGACUGAGAAGACUAAGAGAGCUAAUGUACAUUCUCAUAGGUCUGUUAUGAGAACAACAAGCCUCAGAACUCCCGCAGAUCUGCCCCGGCCUUUCCGACCUCCUGCCAGAAGAUGCCAGGGACCACACACCACACAGGGUUCCCCUACCCACAUCCACCCAGGAGUCAAAUUCCCACUAAGGCCUUCGCUUUCAGCGGACGCUCUGCUCACAGCACUCCCCUGACCCAGAACCAGGGGCGCCUGCAGCACACCACCUGCACACCAUCGACACAGACAGCCCAUACACACAGCUCACAAUGACUUCCUGCCCCAGCCCAUCCUCCUCCUUCCACCAACGAGGGAGAUCCAAUCUCUGCCCUGGUAGUUAUGAGCUUGAGUAAGCCACUGGGUCUCUCUGAGCUUCACUUCCUCACCUGGAAUAGGAUAAAAUGGCUUACAGAUUUAUUGUGAAUAAAAUGACACAGGGAACACCAAGAAAGAUGUCUGACUCAUGAGUAGACGCCACUCCCAAGAGCAGUCCUUGGGGUAGAGACCGUUGAUUCAAGUACACAAGCCUUAGGAAUUCUGCACAACUGAACUGGGUUAGAGUCCGUCUUUGCGGGACUCAUUUACGAGCUCUGCAUCCUUCCUAGGACCUCUUCAGUCAGGUACUUAAUAAACUAGAGACUCGGUUGGCUGCAUGUAGAGGACAGAAGAUGGCCAACAUGAUUUGUGGGCAUUUCAGGGAUGAGCUGGCUUACAAAGGCACCAUGGUCCAGCGCGCUACAUGUGAAUGCGUCUUUCCCUAGAACCACAACUCCACAGGCUCAGCCACUCUACUGUUAUUGUACUUAAUGAAGCCUGUUUAUUUAUUUACUUAUCCAAGGGAGCCCAAAACCAGGUACACCAGGCUGGCAAAGACCCCAUUGUAUAAUGUGAUCAGAUUCAGUUAUAUCACACAGUUCAUGAAAUUCUGCUAUGAUUCAUUUUUACAACUUAAAUAGCUAUUUGGUUGGGUUGCCAGGUUGAACAUGAUGAAUGUGUAUGAUAAAAAAGAACAAAGAGAAGGGCUAGGGCCUGUAAACUGAAACAUUAGUCGGCGCAUUAACCCCUUCGCUCCUUAAUUGCAAUGUCUCUUGGGGGCAGCUGUCCCAUGGCCACCCUUCUCCAACCCUCAUGCCUAGUAUCCUAUCUGUGCCACUGCCAAGAGUGAUGAUUUCACCUUCUCCCCAGCAAGGAAAAAGCCUCCUCCAAAAGGGUCACCAUCCAUUCCAUCCUAAUAUGUGCCUCAGGACAAGUGCACAAAAUCACAGGAGUUCAUGAGUCCUCUGUCCAAGUCUGAUCACUUCCCAGAUCCCUAACUUACAUCCUACUCCUGAAUCCUAGAUGCAAACACAUAACUCAUGGCCAGAUUAACAUUCAUGGCAAUCACGACUGCUCAUUAUUCAAGGCCACGAGAGAUAAAGCUAGACCCAAAAGAAAUCACAUCAAUAAAAAAUUCUGCUGAAAUAACUUAUGGGACAAAACAGGACUUGUAUCAGCUAUAUCAAUGCAUUUCAUAUUUCACUGGAGAUUAUUUUUU
Molecule: long non-coding RNA, 1766 nt
Filed under: Fukomys damarensis (Damara mole-rat)
Lineage: Eukaryota; Metazoa; Chordata; Mammalia; Rodentia; Bathyergidae
Description: lncRNA (ENSFDAG00000021957.1)
Source: RNAcentral